RNAcentral lists this ribosomal RNA (410 nucleotides) under Goniobranchus vibratus. RNAcentral describes it as "partial 16S ribosomal RNA". It matches the Rfam family "Bacterial large subunit ribosomal RNA", at positions 1924 to 2596 of the family's 2925-position model. The record is from RNAcentral. Lineage: Eukaryota; Metazoa; Mollusca; Gastropoda; Nudibranchia; Chromodorididae.
UGAAUGGCCGCGGUACUUUGACCGUGCUAAGGUAGCGCAAUCAAUUGGCUUUUAAUUGGGGUCAGGAAUGAAUGGAGUUUACGUGGUUCAGCUGUCUUUUAGCUAAUAUAUUGAAGUUACUAUAUAAGUGAAAAAGCUUAUUGUUUGAAAAAGGACGAGAAGACCCUUAGAGUUUCACCUAAUGUGAAUAAUUUUUUAUGUGAAUUCAUAAUGGUUUUGUUGGGGCAACAUGGGAGCAGUAGAAAAACAUAUAAAUCUCCUAAAUUGAACUUACCGAAGCAUUAAAUUUGAAUAAACUACCUUAGGGAUAACAGCAUAAUUUUAAAAAUAAGUUUGUGACCUCGAUGUUGGACUAGGAAACUUAAAGGCUAGCCGUCUUUAAGGGAAGUUCUGUUCGAACUAUAAUUCCU